RNAcentral lists this ribosomal RNA (468 nucleotides) under uncultured bacterium. Its description in RNAcentral is "partial 16S ribosomal RNA". It matches the Rfam family "Bacterial small subunit ribosomal RNA", at positions 28 to 507 of the family's 1533-position model. The record is from RNAcentral.
GACGAACGCUGGCGGUGUGCUUAACACAUGCAAGUCGAACGGAAAGGCCCUGCUUUUGUGGGGUGCUCGAGUGGCGAACGGGUGAGUAACACGUGAGUAACCUGCCCUUGACUUUGGGAUAACUUCAGGAAACUGGGGCUAAUACCGGAUAGGAGCUCCUGCUGCAUGGUGGGGGUUGGAAAGUUUCGGCGGUUGGGGAUGGACUCGCGGCUUAUCAGCUUGUUGGUGGGGUAGUGGCUUACCACGGCUUUGACGGAUAGCCGGCCUGAGAGGGUGACCGGCCACAUUGGGACUGAGAUACGGCCCAGACUCCUACGGGAGGCAGCAGUGGGGAAUAUUGCACAAUGGGCGGAAGCCUGAUGCAGCAACGCCGCGUGCGGGAUGACGGCCUUCGGGUUGUAAGCCGCUUUCGCCUGUGACGAAGCGUGAGUGACGGUAAUGGGUAAAGAAGCACCGGCUAACUACGUG